Molecule: ribosomal RNA, 487 nt
Filed under: uncultured bacterium
Lineage: Bacteria
Description: partial 16S ribosomal RNA
Rfam family: Bacterial small subunit ribosomal RNA
Source: RNAcentral
AGUGAACGCUGGCGGUAGGCCUAACACAUGCAAGUCGAACGGCAGCACAGUAAAAGCUUGCUCUUACGGGUGGCGAGUGGCGGACGGGGGAGGAAUACAUCGGAAUCUACUUUUUCGUGGGGGAUAACGUAGGGACACUUACGCUAAUACCGCAUACGACCUACGGGUGAAAGCAGGGGAUCUUCGGACCUUGCGCGACUGAAUGAGCCGAUGUCGGAUGAGCUAGUUGGCGGGGUAAAGGCCCACCAAGGCGACGAUCCGUAGGGGGUCUGAGAGGAAGGUCCGCGGGAUUGGAACUGAGACACGGUCCAAACUGCUACGGGAGGCAGGAGUGAGGAAUAUUGGUCAAUGGGGGAGAGCGUGAAGCAGCCAAGUAGCGUGCAGGAGGACGGCGCUAUGGGUUGUAAACUGCUUUUAUAAGGGAAUAAAGUGGGUCACGUGUGACUUUUUGCAUGUACCUUAUGAAUAAGGACCGGCUAAUUCCGUG